AAUAUUGCACAAUGGAGGAAACUCUGAUGCAGCGACGCCGCGUGAACGAUGAAGGACUUCGGGUCGUAAAGUACUGUUCUUAGGGAAGAUAAUGACGGUACCCAAGGAGGAAGCCCUGGCCAACUACCUACCAUCAGCCGCGGUAAUACGUAGGGGGCGAGCGUUGUCCGGAAUUAUUGGGCGUAAAGGGUUCGCAGGCGGUCCUUUAAGCCAGAUGUGAAAGCCCACGGCUCAACCGUGGUAAGCAUUUGAAACUGAAGGACUUGAGUUAAGGAGAGGAAAGUGGAAUUCCUAGUGUAGCGGUGAAAUGCGUAGAUAUUAGGAGGAAUACCAGUGGCGAAGGCGACUUUCUGGACUUAUACUGACGCUGAGGAACGAAAGCGUGGGGAGCAAACAG
Molecule: ribosomal RNA, 397 nt
Filed under: uncultured bacterium
Lineage: Bacteria
Description: partial 16S ribosomal RNA
Rfam family: Bacterial small subunit ribosomal RNA
Source: RNAcentral